GACGAACGCUGGCGGCGUGCUUAACACAUGCAAGUCGAACGGAAAGGCCCUGCUUUUGUGGGGUGCUCGAGUGGCGAACGGGUGAGUAACACGUGAGUAACCUGCCCUUGACUUUGGGAUAACUUCAGGAAACUGGGGCUAAUACCGUAUAGGAGCUCCUGCUGCAUGGUGGGGGUUGGAAAGUUUCGGCGGUUGGGGUUGGACUCGCGGCUUACCAGCUUGUUGGUGGGGUAGUGGCUUACCAAGGCUUUGACGGGUAGCCGGCCUGAGAGGGUGACCGGCCACAUUGGGACUAAGAUACGGACCAGACUCCUACGGGAGGCAGCAGUGGGGAAUAUUGCACAAUGGGCGGAAGCCUGAUGCAGCAACGCCGCGUGCGGGAUGACGGCCUUCGGGUUAUAAACCGCUUUCGCCUGUGACGAAGCGUGAGUGACGGUAAUGGGUAAAGAAGCACCGGCUAACUACGUG
This 468-nucleotide ribosomal RNA is filed under the name uncultured bacterium. Its description in RNAcentral is "partial 16S ribosomal RNA". It matches the Rfam family "Bacterial small subunit ribosomal RNA", at positions 28 to 507 of the family's 1533-position model. The record is from RNAcentral.